This is a long non-coding RNA of Myotis davidii, 108 nucleotides long. RefSeq lists it as uncharacterized. NCBI's taxonomy places the organism in Eukaryota, Metazoa, Chordata, Mammalia, Chiroptera, Vespertilionidae. The record is from RefSeq and is a predicted model, not a curated record. The transcript is spliced from 3 exons.
CUGGUUACUAUCAUCAUGUUGCAUUCAUUUCCCUUACACGCCUUAUGCGCAGGCGCACCAUUUCUCACCACUAAUACUGGCAGCGAAUAUUUUAGCAGCCGAAGGCCA